UAUAAAUAGCAAUAAAAGAGAGAGAGAGAGAUACAAAAGAAGCUUACACAAUAACAAUGAAGAAGAUAAUAGUUGUAGUGAUGAUUAUUGUUUUCAUCUUUUCCCAUUUUGAGACUGUCCAACCCUCCGCUGCCGACUGCAACGACGCUUGUUCCACUGCCUGUGUUCAAGAAGACUCAAGGCUUAUGCAGCGUUGUGACCGCAAGUGCCAGAUUAAGUGCGAUCCAGACUCAUCCACUGUCAAAACUGGAAGGCCAUAAACUGUAGCUUGAGACUGAAAUUCUUCAACUAUGGAAUUGGAAGAUGACAAGUGAAGAAGACAUCAUGCUGUAUAAUAUUUGUGCUCUGUGGAAUAUGUAAUAAGUAAUUUCUUAAUUAUGAGAAAUUGUAUUUAGCAAUAUUCUUGCUCAAUAUAAUUCCAAAUCUUAAUCUCA
This is a long non-coding RNA of Pistacia vera, 434 nucleotides long. RefSeq lists it as uncharacterized. Lineage: Eukaryota; Viridiplantae; Streptophyta; Magnoliopsida; Sapindales; Anacardiaceae. The transcript is spliced from 3 exons. The record is from RefSeq and is a predicted model, not a curated record.